Non-coding RNA from Paramuricea clavata, 79 nucleotides. The record is from the annotation of a GenBank genome assembly. Lineage: Eukaryota; Metazoa; Cnidaria; Anthozoa; Malacalcyonacea; Plexauridae.
GCCUCUGUAGCUCAGUUGGUUAGAGCGUUGCACCGGAAUCGCAGGGCCGUACAUGUAGGUUCAAUUCCUACCAGAGGAC